This is a long non-coding RNA of Lolium perenne, 1875 nucleotides long. RefSeq lists it as uncharacterized. NCBI's taxonomy places the organism in Eukaryota, Viridiplantae, Streptophyta, Magnoliopsida, Poales, Poaceae. The record is from RefSeq and is a predicted model, not a curated record.
CACCGGCGACAAUCUGAGACAAACACGGCCCUCUCACUCUCUCUGUCCUUGCACUUGCACGCACUGAAGCAAACACUGAAGUAAAAAAAAAAAAGGGCUCAUACUGCUCCGCUUCUGCCCCAACGCCGGCGACCGGACAGCCGCUCCGUGACCGGAGACCAACCCCCGAGGUGGUACUUCUCCCCCACCCCGUCCCCCGUCCCCCGCCCCCCAUCCCUGCAACACCCUCAUCUCUCCUCCGGGCUCCAGCUCUCCCCCAUGUCGCAUCCCGUGUGACCGUCGCCUCCACAUCAACGACCACAUCCGGCCGGUGACCCGCGACUGGGAGGUGCUCGAGCUCUUCAUGCUCACGGGCGAUACAGCGCUAGGCGGAAGCGGAUGCGCAGGGGCUCGUCUCCACGCGAAUGGUGGCCGCGGACAUCGCGCAUCUGACGCGUACAGAGCACCUGAGCUUGGAGCUCGGCUAGCCACAGGCGAGCUGUUGGCACUACCCUGUGGGGCGAAUCGAAGUAACUCAUGUUGUCUGUGAGAAGCGGGGGUAGAUUGAUGCAGUGUGAAGGAGCGUGUUUGUUGAUGACAACUUAACGGCCUAGCGAUUUGAAGCAUGGGCGAGCCUUAGUUAUUCAUGUCAAGUAUCUCAAAUAUCCCAUGUACUGCUGUUCAAUCUUGGUGGCCCAGAGACCCUCAAUGAUGUUCAGCCGUUUUUGUUCAAUCUCUUUGCUGAUUCAUUGAUUCAUUGUGGCUCGAUGGUCCAGGAUGAGAAGGUAGAGCUAAACAUCCAAUUCAUGUAAUAUUUGAGAAUUAUGGUCAUCAUCCGUUGUAUGCAUCAAUGCUUUCUUAGGGAUGGGUUUUUGUGCUUUCAUGAACAAGCUCAGAUACAUGGAGAGCUGAUUGAACUGCAAUGACCAUCUGAUCAUGUUGCGCAAGAUAGACCUAGAAACUUUCAAGGUCAUGAGUAGUAUGCUAUUCAUGAAGAUGAUUACCUAUGAUGUCAUAUACUCUCAUUUGGAGGAGUAGGCCGCUGAUAUGUCAGCUGCCCACGCAUCUGGAGGGCUCCUUGCGAAAUAUAUUGCGUCUUCUACCAGGAAGGAGAUCACAUGCAUUCUAGUAUCCUGAAGUUACAUGUUUCACUCACUGGUUAUAGGAAUUUUGGCUCUUGCUGUCAAGAAAUUACUGCAUUAAGUGAGCAGAGAGAACAUUUGGCUACAACAGCACUACAGCAACCAAGGCGACGAUGGAAUAGAUGGAUCAAAUGUUGGAGCUGCUACUAAGCUCCUCUUCUUGUUCUUCCUCUCAGCUAUGUUGGCUUUGGCUACAAACGAAGUUACAAAUCCCUUAAAUAGACAUAUAUGCAUGGACCAGCAGCCAGUAACCCACGCAUGCAGUAGCCUCCCAGUCCACUCACAGAUGGCUCGAGUAGCACAAUCACACAUGCAGCCAACGAUGUAGCUACUGACUCGGCUAACGCAGUCCACUCACACACAACCACCUAUGACUUGGCCAAAUGAAAUCUAUGGAGGAGGAGCGUUAGUGAAUAUGACUAUUUUUAGAUGGAAGUGAAUAAGACUUGGCCAUCACCGUCUGAAGUUAGAGGUGUGGUCUGUCUGACCGCAUCUGAUAUUGUGGUCAAAUGUGGCAUUUAUUUUUAUUUAUGUUAAUUAACUUUGCCAUUUAUUUUUUAGUUUGGCUGAACUUCCACAAAAAGGUGACAAAUCUUUUUUCAGCCUUUAACUUUUAUCUUUUGAGCCACAGGAUGUAUUUACCCAUAUACUAUUUUUAGUUCAGUUGACCUGGCCUUGUCAUUCCAUACGUGUUUUCUUUUCUACAAUGUUAUAUGCAUGUUUAUAAUAAUUUGAUAGGGAUGAACUGUAACAA